RNAcentral lists this ribosomal RNA (2004 nucleotides) under human metagenome. RNAcentral's name for it is "bacterial LSU rRNA". It matches the Rfam family "Bacterial large subunit ribosomal RNA", at positions 831 to 2870 of the family's 2925-position model. The record is from RNAcentral.
AAUCGAACCCGGAGAUAGCUGGUUCUCCUCGAAAUAGUUUUAGGACUAGCCUUAAUUUAGUCUGAUGGAGGUAGAGCACUGAAUUUUUGCGGGGGCGUCAAAGCUUACCAAUGAAUAUCAAACUGCGAAUGCCAUACAGAUGAUGAUUAGGAGUCAGACUACACGAGAUAAGUUGGGUAGUCGAAAGGGAAAGAGCCCAGAUCUACGGCUAAGGUCCCAAAGUGAGUGUUAAGUGGAAAAGGAUGUAGGAUCUCAUAGACAACUAGGAUGUUGGCUUAGAAGCAGCCAUACAUUAAAAGAGUGCGUAAUAGCUCACUAGUCGAGAGGUUCUGCGCCGAAAAUGUCCGGGGCUAAAACACUACACCGAAGCCAAGGGAUGACGAAAGUCAUCGGUAGAGGAGCAAUCUUACCGACGCAGAAGCCAUACCGAAAGGAGUGGUGGAGAAGUAAGAAGAGAGAAUGCCGGAAUGAGUAGCGAGAGUGAGGUGAGAAUCCUCACGGCCAAAUACCCAAGGAUUCCAGAGUAAAGCUGAUCUGCUCUGGGUAAGUCGGGACCUAAGGCGAGGGAGAGAUCCGUAGUCGAUGGACAUCAGGUAUAGAAUCCUGAACUGCAUAUAAUCAGAAAUGUGGGGACACAGAAACUAAAGUCGAACCCGGGAGAGCAAAGACCGGGAUAAGCGAGGUAGCAGGUGGUAGGAAAAACCGCCACGAAAUGCGAAUGCGUGAUAUGUAGCGAAGAAAAGUAGCGAAGUCGAAUAGGGAGCUGUCAAGAAAAGCCGCUAUAGCGUUAUAUGUACCCGUACCGAAAACCGACACAGGUGGGAGGGGAGAGAAUCCUAAGGCCGGCGGGAGAAGCAUUGUUAAGGAACUCGGCAAAAUGACCCCGUAACUUCGGGAGAAGGGGUACCGAAAGGUCACAGAAAAAAGGCUCAAGCAACUGUUUAGCAAAAACACAGGUCUAUGCGAAACCGAAAGGUGAAGUAUAUGGGCUGACGCCUGCCCGGUGCUGGAAGGUUAAGAGGAGAGGUCAGGCAACGAAGCUUUGAAUCUAAGCCCCAGUAAACGGCGGCCGUAACUAUAACGGUCCUAAGGUAGCGAAAUUCCUUGUCGGGUAAGUUCCGACCCGCACGAAAGGCGUAAUGAUUUGAGCGCUGUCUCAACAAUGCACCCGGUGAAAUUGAAGUACCAGUGAAGAUGCUGGUUACCUGCGCCAGGACGGAAAGACCCCAUGGAGCUUUACUCUAGUUUGAUACUGGGGUUUGAUGAUGCAUGUACAGGAUAGGUGGGAGACUGCGAGGCGAGGACGCCAGUUUUCGCGGAGUCACUGUUGGGAUACCACCCUUGUAUCAUUGAAUUUCUAACCCGUGGCCGUAAGCCGGUCAGGGGACAAUGUCAGAUGGGGAGUUUGACUGGGGCGGUCGCCUCCGAAAGAGUAUCGGAGGCGCUCAAAGGUUCCCUCAGAAUGGACGGAAACCAUUCAAAGAGUGCAAAGGCAAAAGGGAGCUUGACUGCGACACUGACGGGUGGAGCAGGUACGAAAGUAGGACUUAGUGAUCCGGUGGUUUUAAGUGGGAAAGCCAUCGCUCAACGGAUAAAAGCUACCCUGGGGAUAACAGGCUUAUCACUCCCAAGAGUUCACAUCGACGGAGUGGUUUGGCACCUCGAUGUCGGCUCAUCGCAUCCUGGGGCUGAAGUCGGUCCCAAGGGUUGGGCUGUUCGCCCAUUAAAGCGGUACGCGAGCUGGGUUCAGAACGUCGUGAGACAGUUCGGUCCCUAUCCGGCGUGGGCGUAAGAUAUUUGAGAGGAGCUGUCCUUAGUACGAGAGGACCGGGAUGGACUGACCACUGGUGUACCUGUUGGGUAGCAGACCCACGGCAGGGUAGCCAAGUCGGGAACGGAUAAACGCUGAAGGCAUCUAAGCGUGAAGCCGACCUCAAGAUGAGAUAUCUCAUGCGAAAGCAGUAAGACCCCUUAAAGACAAUGAGGUAGAUAGGGCUAAGGUGU